Molecule: ribosomal RNA, 468 nt
Filed under: uncultured bacterium
Lineage: Bacteria
Description: partial 16S ribosomal RNA
Rfam family: Bacterial small subunit ribosomal RNA
Source: RNAcentral
GACGAACGCUGGCGGCGUGCUUAACACAUGCAAGUCGAACGGAAAGGCCCUGCUUUUGUGGGGUGCUCGAGUGGCGAACGGGUGAGUAACACGUGAGUAACCUGCCCUUGACUUUGGGAUAACUUCAGGAAACUGGGGCUAAUACCGGAUAGGAGCUCCUGCUGCAUGGUGGGGGUUGGAAAGUUUCGGCGGUUGAGGAUGGACUCGCGGCUUAUCAGCUUGUUGGUGGGGUAGUGGCUUACCAAGGCUUUGACGGGUAGCCGGCCUGAGAGGGUGACCGGCCACAUUGGAACUGAGAUACGGCCCAGACUCCUACGGGAGGCAGCAGUGGGGAAUAUUGCACAAUGGGCGGAAGCCUGAUGCAGCAACGCCGCGUGCGGGAUGACGGCCUUCGGGUUGUAAACCGCUUUCGCCUGUGACGAAGCGUGAGUGACGGUAAUGGGUAAAGAAGCACCGGCUAACUACGUG